GACGAACGCUGGCGGCGCGCCUAACACAUGCAAGUCGAACGAUCGAGAGAGAGCUUGCUUUCUCGAGCGAGUGGCGAACGGGUGAGUAACGCGUGAGGAACCCGCCUCAAAGAGGGGGACAACAGUUGGAAACGACUGCUAAUACCGCAUAAGCCCACGGUUUGGCAUCGAGCAGGGGGAAAAGGAGCAAUCCGCCUUGAGCUGGCCUCGCGUCCGAUUAGCUAGUUGGUGAGGUAACGGCCCACCAAGGCGACGAUCGGUAGCCGGACUGGGAGGUUGAACGGCCACAUUGGGACUGAGACACGGCCCAGACUCCUACGGGAAGCAGCAGUGGGGAAUAUUGCACAAUGGGGGAGACCCUGAUGCAGCGACGCCGCGUGGAGGAAGAAGGUCUGCGGAUUGUAAACUCCUGUUGUUAGGGAAGAUAGUGACGGUACCCAACAAGGAAGUGACGGCUAACUACGUG
Molecule: ribosomal RNA, 466 nt
Filed under: uncultured bacterium
Lineage: Bacteria
Description: partial 16S ribosomal RNA
Rfam family: Bacterial small subunit ribosomal RNA
Source: RNAcentral